GAGGGUAGCAAAGCAGUUGUGGGGGAAAUGAAGCAGAGUUGUCCCUGCGGAGCAGAGAAGAGGAGAAGGUAAGUGGAAGCAGGAGCCCGUUUGUCAUCUUUCAGCCGACGAGGAUGCAGUAGAGUGGCACAAGUGACGUCUUUCAUCACGAAGAUGGGAGUAUUAAAGUGGCCAAAUGGUAGUAAUGAAGGUGUAAUGGUUCCCUUGCUUGACUUCUGUAUAGGCAUUGGGAGUUCCGUUUUCACUCAGUUACAGUUUACGUGGUCGCGGGCGUGCUGGAGCCUAUCCCAGCUAUCAUCGGGCAGGAGGCGGGGUCCACCCUCAACUGGUUGUCAGCCAAUCGCAGCAUUCCAGAGGUCAACAGUUUAAUUGGAAACAGAAACGCUGCCGGCUUCUCUGGUCCUGAGCUCAUCGGAGAUGGACUGACGCAAAGUGGAAAAGUGUGCUGUGGUCUGACGAGUCCACAUUUCAAAUUAGUUUGGGAAAUCAUGGAUGUUGUGUCCUCCGGGCAAAAGAGAAGAUGGACCAUCUUGAUAGUUAUCAGCACAAAGUUCAAAAGCCAGCAUCUGUGAUGGUAUUGGAGUGUGCCCAUGGCAUGGGUAAUUUCAGGCCUGAAGGCACCAUUUAUGCUAAACCAUACAUACAGGUUUUGGAGCAACAUAUGCUGCCUUCCAAGCAACGUCGUUUUCAGGGACAUCCCUGCUUAUUUCAACAAGACAAUGCAAGGUCACAUUCUGUAUGUCUCACAACAGCUUGGCUGAGUAGUAAACGAGUGUGAGUGCUAGACUGGCCUACCAGCAGUCUAGACCUGUGUCCCAUUGAAAAUGAAAACGUGUCAUUAUGAAGCAAAAAAUUUGACAACGGAGACCCCAGACUGUUGAGCAACUGAAGGCUUACAUCAAGCAAGAAUGGCAAAGAAUUGCACCUACAAAGCUUCUACAAUUUGUGUCCUCAAAUGGAUACUGAGUGUUGUUGAAAGGAAAGGUAAAGUAACACAGCGGUAAAAGUGCCUCUUUCCCAACUUUUUUGGAACGUGUUGCAGGCAUCAAAUUAAAAAUGAAUGUUUGCGAAAAAACAAAGUUUAUCAGUUUGAACAUUAAAUAUCUUAGUACAGUAUAUUCAAUUGAAUAUAAAGUAGGGUGAAAAGGAUUGGCAAAUCAUUGUAUUCUGUUUUUAUUUACAUUUACAUAAUGUCCCCAUUGCAUUGGAAUAGGGUUUUGUAUAUGGUUUUGGUCAUCGAGUGGACAAUGCACACUUUAGUCUUAACUUCUGCUAUUCCUCCACAUGGCGAAAUAAGUGCUAAUUGUAAACAUCUAGUAUUACGUCUCUGUUUUCGCCUUCUAUGAAAGAUGAAACAGUUGUCAAAUGAUCACAUUAAUAUCCUGAAUGGAUUACGACAAAUACUUUUAGAAAAAUAACUGUCAAUUCUCAUGAGAAUAGUUCUUGCCUGUGACUGAUAGAACACCAGGCCUGGGCUUGCGUGUUCACUUUAUUUGAGCAGUGGCUCCCAAAGUGACUACUGACUUGAGCUGUAACAAUAUUAUGGCAGUGAUUGAGAUGUUUUUGGUGUUCUGAAAAACAAGAAGAUGUAAAACAGCUCUUAUAACAGAAGGUAGCGUAUGCCAUCAAAUGGGUUUGGGCCUACCAUACCAAUCUGUCGGCAAGUACGUUGACUAAUUGUAACCUCAAUGAUUUGAGCAUGCUGUUUUUCGAGUAUUGGACAUUUCGUAACCCACAGUGUAAUAAUUAAAGACAUAAUAUCUAUCGAUGCCUUCAAGAGGCGUGACCACAACAGUACAUUUGUAAAUGUGGGCACGUUCAAAUUACACAAGCGCCAGGGAGGCAGACAGUCAUUUGACAGCUAUGGCAAAAAUGACAAAGAGCAUACUUGUUUACCUCUAAUAUUACAUGCUGGCGUGCUGUAUAUAAACGUGCCUGCAAAUGUUUACGGGCAAGCCCAACCAGGAACAAUAAAGAAGGCAUGCAGAAAGGGAAGAAUGUGAUUUUAAAACAAAGCAUUUAUAAAAUGCACUGUGAAUGUUGCAGAAAAUUCUGGAACAACUGUAUAUUUCAUGGUAUGUUACUCAUUAACUCAUUCACAGCUAGCCAGAGUUCCCCAUGUCACCAGCCAUUUUAGAGCAUUUUGACUGAUAUUUCAAGACCCACAGAAUAUUCUUGGCAUGGCAUGACAAUAUAAUCACAAAACCUACCAAAAGAAAGAGUACGCUUCCUUCUUCCAACAGAAAAAAAAACUUCUGUUUGUAGCUUUUUCUGUUCUUUCGUAGUCAGCAGUGGAACAUGUCUAUGUUUCACUUUAUAUAUACAUGGAUACUGUAUAUGGAUAUACAUGGAGCCUGUCAAAAGUUGUUCUUCGCAGCUCAUAAAGGAUAGAUGCCUGUCAGUAUUGUUAUAGUAUCUGUCUACAUGUGUUGAUCCACUGUCUGUGUUAAAAAUAUACGUUGCCUAAAUGUUAUAACACUGCAAUGCCAAUGCUAUACGUUAGCCUUUCUAUAAUGUUUUGAAUUGUUUGUUAGGGGUAAGCUAAGCAGACAUAAAGCUAUAUGGUUGUGUUAAAUAGACAAAUUGAGGUUCUCUUCACAACGAGAAGCCUCUUUUUUGAAGAAUUCACUAAUUCUAUCUGCCAAACUGCUGCUCGUUGUGAAGGGAGUUGAAUUAAGUUCACUGCCAGCAAACAGCGCCCACAUCUCGAAUUUUUGCUCGUAAAUCAAAGCAAAUAAAAAGAAU
Molecule: long non-coding RNA, 2745 nt
Organism: Phyllopteryx taeniolatus (common seadragon)
Lineage: Eukaryota; Metazoa; Chordata; Actinopteri; Syngnathiformes; Syngnathidae
Exons: 4
Source: RefSeq, a predicted model, not a curated record